AUUGAACGCUGGCGGCAUGCCUUACACAUGCAAGUCGAACGGUAACAGGUCUUCGGAUGCUGACGAGUGGCGAACGGGUGAGUAAUACAUCGGAACGUGCCCGAUCGUGGGGGAUAACGGAGCGAAAGCUUUGCUAAUACCGCAUACGAUCUACGGAUGAAAGCAGGGGACCGCAAGGCCUUGCGCGGACGGAGCGGCCGAUGGCAGAUUAGGUAGUUGGUGGGAUAAAAGCUUACCAAGCCGACGAUCUGUAGCUGGUCUGAGAGGACGACCAGCCACACUGGGACUGAGACACGGCCCAGACUCCUACGGGAGGCAGCAGUGGGGAAUUUUGGACAAUGGGCGCAAGCCUGAUCCAGCCAUGCCGCGUGCAGGAUGAAGGCCUUCGGGUUGUAAACUGCUUUUGUACGGAACGAAAGACUCUUUCUAAUAAAGAGGUCCAUGACGGUACCGUAAGAAUAAGACACCGGCUAACUACGUGCCAGCAGCCGCGGU
RNAcentral lists this ribosomal RNA (495 nucleotides) under uncultured bacterium. RNAcentral's name for it is "bacterial SSU rRNA". It matches the Rfam family "Bacterial small subunit ribosomal RNA", at positions 30 to 521 of the family's 1533-position model. The record is from RNAcentral.